RNAcentral lists this ribosomal RNA (253 nucleotides) under uncultured bacterium. Its description in RNAcentral is "partial 16S ribosomal RNA". It matches the Rfam family "Bacterial small subunit ribosomal RNA", at positions 524 to 776 of the family's 1533-position model. The record is from RNAcentral.
UACGAGGGGGGCGAGCGUUGUUCGGAAUUAUUGGGCGUAAAGGGUGCGUAGGCGGUUUGGUAAGUCUUGUGUGAAAUCUCCAGGCUCAACUUGGAGUCUGCACGAGAAACUGCCGGGCUUGAGUGUGGGAGAGGUGAGUGGAAUUCCUGGUGUAGCGGUGAAAUGCGUAGAUAUCAGGAGGAACACCAGUGGCGAAGGCGGCCCGCUGGGCAGUGGCUGACGCUGAGGAGCGAAAGCGUGGGGAGCGAACAGG